UACGUAGGGGGCAAGCGUUGUCCGGAUUUAUUGGGCGUAAAGAGCGUGUAGGCGGCCGUACAGGUCAGCUGUGAAAGCUCGAGGCUCAACCUCGAGACGUCGGUUGAAACCGUACGGCUAGAGUCCGGAAGAGGAGAGUGGAAUUCCCGGUGUAGCGGUGAAAUGCGCAGAUAUCGGGAAGAACACCCGUGGCGAAGGCGGCUCUCUGGGACGGUACUGACGCUGAGACGCGAAAGCGUGGGGAGUGAACAGG
RNAcentral lists this ribosomal RNA (253 nucleotides) under uncultured bacterium. Its description in RNAcentral is "partial 16S ribosomal RNA". It matches the Rfam family "Bacterial small subunit ribosomal RNA", at positions 524 to 776 of the family's 1533-position model. The record is from RNAcentral.